UACGGAGGGUGCAAGCAUUAAUCGGAAUUAUUGGGCGUAAAGGGCGCGUAGGCGGAUUUAUAAGUCAGAUGUGAAAUUCCAAAGCUCAAUUUUGGAGCUGCAUUUGAAACUGUAAGUCUUUAGAGGGUAGACGGAGAAAACGGAAUUCCACAUGUAGCGGUGAAAUGCGUGGAUAUGUGGAAGAACACCGGUGGCGAAAGCGGUUUUCUAGUUUACACCUGACGCUGAGGCGCGAAAGCAAGGGGAGCAAACAGG
Molecule: ribosomal RNA, 255 nt
Filed under: uncultured bacterium
Lineage: Bacteria
Description: partial 16S ribosomal RNA
Rfam family: Bacterial small subunit ribosomal RNA
Source: RNAcentral